Syngnathus typhle (broad-nosed pipefish) is the source of this 1434-nucleotide long non-coding RNA. RefSeq lists it as uncharacterized. The transcript has 2 exons. Lineage: Eukaryota; Metazoa; Chordata; Actinopteri; Syngnathiformes; Syngnathidae. The record is from RefSeq and is a predicted model, not a curated record.
AAGUUUUCCAUUAGCUAAAUUCUGAAGGAGGCAAUAAUAUACCACAAGGUGGCCGUUUUCAGCAGCUAAAAGAAGAUCUAACACAUUUGGUCGAGGUUGAUAAUGGUGCUCCACUUUCACACCGACCACUCAGAGGGAAUUACAGGGCUGCAGAGAAGAGAAUGUCUGAGUGCUGUAGUUAAAACCAGGGGUAAAUGCUAUCUCAUGCUUACAUAGUCCUCGAUCCAUGGGUCCUGAGGCUGCCUGAUCGCUUUGCAGCUGGGCCCAUUUACAUUUUCAAUUGACAGAGUCUCUCACAGUAUACAGUAGGGUCUGCUUCACAGGAAUCGAUCGUUUUCUUACAGUCCGCCGCUCUCCAGCACGGGCAUACCUGGAUUGGGCGAUGCGGCGAACAAAAGGAUUGGAGGCAGGAGAAAAAAACACAGAAAAGACACAUAAUACUCAACAGAGGAUCGCCACGGAAGGUCUCCAGGGAAGAGGCGGGCAGCAAAUAAGCAAAACAUGCUUGCCAAGACAAGACUCACAAAAGACACCUUGACCAGUCAGUCUCUCUCGCUCGCUUGACAGCGACUACUUUACACUAAAUGGGAGAGAAAGCGAGGCAGUUGCCCACUGUCAGCACGGCACAGACUCAGCCAGCGCUGUUCAUCACCUCAAAACCAAGGCUAAAUUUGAGCACAAAUAUGAAUAUAUGAAUAGCUGAACAAGUGGAUCUUGUUAUUCACCUGCGUUCACGCUGCCAAGCUUGCAACUUUUGUUUGGAGCCGGUCGUUCUGCUGAGCACGGGCUUUCUGACAGUACAUCUUAAGUGGGGCAGAGGGGAGUGGGCACAGGUGUUACGGAGUGGCUCUUUUACUGAGGGAGAAUGACCUGUGUCUGAAAAUGCCCUCUUUGUCUGUCUUCAGAAGCUCCCGCUAUGCCCCCCGUGCCCUCUAUCCUCAGUGGUUACCAUACUGGCUUAACAAAAAAACAAAAAACAAACUUGCAUUUGCCCAGAUGGCAGACAGCAGGGGCCGCCUAACACUUCCUGUGUCACUGAAGGCUUGCCCCCCUGAGUGUGUCUAAGAUGCAGUUUUGCUCCAUAUGUCCCUAUGAGUGACUGAACUCUCCAGAGAGACAUCUGCACUGCCCAAUACGGUUCAUAAGUACUUUUGCUAUAUAAUUAAAUACGACGACAAUACGGUGAUGCCUUGAGAUACGAGUGAUCCGACAUGCAAGUUUUGUGGGGUGAAUACAAAUUGGAUGUGACAUUUACCAUGUUGACUUGCCUAUUUAUAUUGCAGACAUCGUUUCGAUUUUCUUUUCCGACACAAUGUGUUUUAUGAAAUACGCAAUGAAUUUUAAUUGCCUACUUAUGGCGCCCAUCCGAGGAUUGAUUGCAAAUUCAAAUUUGUAUGUGACAAAUUAAAUGACAUGACAGUUAUUUUAACAGUU